Molecule: non-coding RNA, 775 nt
Organism: Megalobrama amblycephala (Wuchang bream)
Lineage: Eukaryota; Metazoa; Chordata; Actinopteri; Cypriniformes; Xenocyprididae
Source: the annotation of a RefSeq genome assembly
UUAACACUUCAUCACUGAGAGCUUUUCUUCAUUCAAACUGAAAUUAAACCACCAACAAGCAGAAUGAUGAUCAUCAGCGUCUGUAUCUGGACUCUCAUUCUUUUUGUUCAAGGAAUUACAGGACAAGUUUCUGUGACUCAGACUCCCUCAGCAGCAGCUGUUCAACCAGGAGAAACAGUUACUAUAAACUGUAAAACUAGCAGAGGAAUCGGAGAUCGUUCUUGGGGUUGUAGUGACUGUCUCGCCUGGUAUCUGCAGAAACCUGGAGAAGCUCCUAAACUCCUCAUUUAUGACAUUAGAUCACGACAGUCAGGAACUCCAUCUAGAUUCACUGGCAAUGGAGCAGAUUAUGGAACAGAUUUCACACUGACCAUCAGUGGAGUCCAGACUGAAGAUGCUGGACAUUAUUACUGUCAGAGUGUACAUCUCAUAAACAGUAAAGCAGUGUUCACACAGUGAUAAAGAGUCGUACAAAAACCUCCGUCAGUCAGAGUCACAGUGACUGAACUGAUACUGCAGCUGCUCACACACUUUCACACACUUUCACACACUACUGACACACAGAGGACAAACACAGGAACUACACAUGUGCUCAAAACUGACUUAUGACUGAAAUCAGCUCUAUUAGACUGUGAUCUGUCCUGUGACAGACGGGUUUGACUCAAAUAUGCUCAGAAUCAGAGAAAACAGAGUGUGUAAAUUGAUAUGAAAUCAAACUAACAAUAAUGGCGUCAUAUGUUGUUUUGUUUUUGUACAUUAAACUACACUAAAGUCA